AGUGGGAUAACUGGGUCAGAUGGUGGUUCUAUUUCAAGUUUUCUGAGGAAUCUCCAUACUGUUUUCCAGAGUGGUUGAACUAAUUUGCAGUCCUACCAGCAAU
RNAcentral lists this microRNA precursor (103 nucleotides) under Marmota monax (woodchuck). The record is from RNAcentral. Lineage: Eukaryota; Metazoa; Chordata; Mammalia; Rodentia; Sciuridae.